GAUGAACGCUGGCGGCGCGCCUAACACAUGCAAGUCGAACGGUUAAAGCACCUUUUAGGUGUGUAUAAAGUGGCGAACGGCUGAGUAACACGUGGGCAACCUGCCCUCCUCUUGGGGAUAGCCUCGGGAAACCGAGGAUAAUACCCGAUACUUCAAUGUGGCCGCAUGACGACAUUGAGAAAGCUUUUGCGGAGAAGGAUGGGCCCGCGGCCUGUUAGCUUGUUGGUGGGGUAGAGGCCUACCAAGGCAAUGAUGGGUAGCUGGGUUGAGAGACCGACCAGCCAGAUUGGGACUGAGACACGGCCCAGACUCCUACGGGAGGCAGCAGUGGGGAAUCCUGCACAAUGGGCGAAAGCCUGAUGCAGCGACGCCGCGUGCGGGACGAAGGCCUUCGGGUUGUAAACCGCUUUCAGCAGGGACGAGGCGAUAAGUGACGGUACCUGCAGAAGAAGCCCCGGCUAACUACGUGCCAGCAGCCGCGGUAAUACGUAGGGGGCAAGCGUUAUCCGGAUUCAUUGGGCGUAAAGCGCUCGUAGGCGGUCUGUUAGGUCGGGAGUUAAAUCCGGAGGCUCAACCUCCGCCCGCUCCCGAUACCGGCAGACUUGAGUUUGGUAGGGGAAGGUGGAAUUCCUAGUGUAGCGGUGGAAUGCGCAGAUAUUAGGAAGAACACCAGUGGCGAAAGCGGCCUUCUGGGCCAUAACUGACGCUGAGGAGCGAAAGCUAGGGGAGCAAACAG
Molecule: ribosomal RNA, 736 nt
Filed under: uncultured Atopobium sp.
Lineage: Bacteria; Bacillati; Actinomycetota; Coriobacteriia; Coriobacteriales; Atopobiaceae
Description: bacterial SSU rRNA
Rfam family: Bacterial small subunit ribosomal RNA
Source: RNAcentral